UGGCCUCGCAAGUCCGUCGGGAAAUCCAUCAGCCCAACUGAUGGGCGUCCGGCGGAAACUACAAGGCUUGGGACCGGAAGGCUCGAGGGGUACGUCCGGGGUAGGAGUGAAAUCCCGUAAUCCCGAACGGACCACCGAUGGCGAAAGCACCUCGAGAAGACGGCUCCGACAGUGAGGGACGAAAGCUAGGGUCUCGAACCGGAUUAGAUACCCGGGUAGUCCUAGCCGUAAACGAUGUUCGCUAGGUGUGGCACUGGCUACGAGCCAGUGCUGUGCCGUAGGGAAGCCGAGAAGCGAACCGCCUGGGAA
Molecule: ribosomal RNA, 309 nt
Filed under: uncultured archaeon
Lineage: Archaea
Description: bacterial SSU rRNA
Rfam family: Archaeal small subunit ribosomal RNA
Source: RNAcentral